Molecule: small RNA, 415 nt
Filed under: Arabidopsis thaliana (thale cress)
Lineage: Eukaryota; Viridiplantae; Streptophyta; Magnoliopsida; Brassicales; Brassicaceae
Description: ATSL244960
Source: RNAcentral
AUUUGAAUAAUUAUUAAGAAGCAAAGCUAAACAUUGUAGAUGGUCUUAGUAAUCAAACAAACGCAUUAACGCAUGCAUAUUUGUUUUUAAUUGUGAGUUAACAAUAACAGUGGCAUUGUCCUCCGUGAGACAUAGAUUUGCAGUAACCGCCUUUUCCAUUGUCGCAUCCAUUGAGACACCAACUGUUACAUCUCUGGUCGUCAUUUUUUGUGUUGCACUUUCCAAAUUUCGGGUGGUUAUUACAACACAAGGAACCACCAUUCUCUACAUUAUAUCCUUCAACAUCUGCCAAUAUCACAAAGAAUUGAAACAGUUUUGUCUAAUAUGAAUUCAUGGAAUUUUGUAAUUAAAGUAAUAAGUUUGUAUUGAAACACAAAAAUAAGUUUGUUAGAGUGUAAAAACUUGAGAAAAUACC